UGUCCAAUGCGGGAAUCGAACCCGGGUCAUAGUGGUUGAAAACCAAACGGUUUAACCAGCCUUCCACCAACAAUGC
RNAcentral lists this transfer RNA (76 nucleotides) under Cordylochernes scorpioides. RNAcentral's name for it is "tRNA-Glu". The record is from RNAcentral. Lineage: Eukaryota; Metazoa; Arthropoda; Arachnida; Pseudoscorpiones; Chernetidae.